AGUAACGCGUGAGGAACCUGCCUCAAAGAGGGGGACAACAGUUGGAAACGACUGCCAAUACCGCAUAAGCCCACGGCUCAGCAUCGAGCAGAGGGAAAAGGAGUGAUCCGCUUUGAGAUGGCCUCGCGUCCGAUUAGCUAGUUGGUGAGGUAACGGCCCACCAAGGCAACGAUCGGUAGCCGGACUGAGAGGUUGAACGGCCACAUUGGGACUGAGACACGGCCCAG
RNAcentral lists this ribosomal RNA (227 nucleotides) under uncultured bacterium. RNAcentral's name for it is "partial 16S ribosomal RNA". It matches the Rfam family "Bacterial small subunit ribosomal RNA", at positions 109 to 334 of the family's 1533-position model. The record is from RNAcentral.